UGACGGUACCUGGAGAAUAAGCCCCGGCUAACUACGUGCCAGCAGCCGCGGUAAUACGUAGGGNGCNAGCGUUNUUCGGANUUACUGGGCGUAAAGCGUGCGCAGGCGGNUUUNUAAGUCAGANGUGAAAUCCCCGAGCUCAACUUGGGAACUGCCUUUGANACUGCCAANCUUGAAUANGNCAGAGGUNGGUGGAAUUCCCCGUGUAGCGGUGAAAUNCGUAGAUAUNUGGAAGAACACCAAUGGCGAAGGCAGCCCCCUGGACUAAUAUUGACGCUGAGGCACGAAA
RNAcentral lists this ribosomal RNA (289 nucleotides) under uncultured bacterium. RNAcentral describes it as "partial 16S ribosomal RNA". It matches the Rfam family "Bacterial small subunit ribosomal RNA", at positions 470 to 758 of the family's 1533-position model. The record is from RNAcentral.